Phrynosoma platyrhinos (Desert horned lizard) is the source of this 73-nucleotide non-coding RNA. NCBI's taxonomy places the organism in Eukaryota, Metazoa, Chordata, Lepidosauria, Squamata, Phrynosomatidae. The record is from the annotation of a GenBank genome assembly.
GUCCAACAUAGCGUAGUCGUUUCAGCGCUGGACUACCACUCUGGAGGCCAGGGUUCGAUUCCCGGUUCAGCCA